Ictalurus punctatus (channel catfish) is the source of this 2246-nucleotide long non-coding RNA. The record is from Ensembl. NCBI's taxonomy places the organism in Eukaryota, Metazoa, Chordata, Actinopteri, Siluriformes, Ictaluridae.
CAUUAACCCCUUGAGCCCCUUUGGGGCUUGUAGGUCAGAUUUUGGUUGAAACCAAUCUGGAGCUCUGUUAAGGGGCUCGGUGACCAUUUUUCAUCCCAAAAUUGGACCUCCAUUAGGAGAACCAGAAACCACUCCUCAUCCCAAAAGAUGAAUUGUUUGGAAUUGAGAGCAAAACCUCAAAUUUGACUAUAACACCAUUCUGAAUCUACUAUCCCAUUCACCACCAACCCUCUAUUCCCAUGGACAUGGACAUUCCCAAAGUAAAAGAUCUAGAAUGUACAAACAGCCUCAUGGGUUCCAUUUGGGUUGAACCUAAACUGGACCAGUAACCACUUCCUGUCACUUAAGUCAUGGGUUAAAUUGCUUGAUCUUAAUAAUAUAACCUAUCUGACAACCUGGCUCUCAAAACCAUGGGAGCAUAAGCUAUCACACUAUUCUACAUCCUUGAUCUCACUAGACACCAACUCUUUUCUCCUAUCAAUGGACUUUCCCAUGGGCUUGAUCUGCUGAGUCGCGGCAUAUGCAUUGGAAUUCAACAACUGAAACAGACACUGAAGAAGUUUCACAGACGUUUGAGGAACAGAAAUGGAAUAACGAGUCCCUGAACAAAGGGGGGGGUCAAUAUUAAAAGUAAUAAUCAGUAUCUGGUGGCCUCCAGCUGCUUUAAGUACUACAGUGCAUCUCAUCCUCAUGGAUUGCACCAGAUUGGUCAGUUCCUGCUGUGAGAUGUUCCACCACUCUUCCACCAAGUCAUUUGCAAGUUCUCCAUCAUGUCUGGGGGGAACACAUGUUUACAUGUAAUUUUCCACUGCGAGGACAACCAGAUGUCCUUCCUGUCUCCCUGUAGCACUGCCUUAAGCGUCUUACAUUACAGACAUGUAUGUUCACGCAGGUGAGCAGGAACCCUAGGCAUCUUUCUUCUGGUGUUUUUCAGAGUCAGUAGAAAGGUCUCUUUGGUGUCCUAACUUACUGUAACUGUGACCGUAAUCACCUCCCACCUGUACACCGUUCGUGUCUUAAGGACUGUUCCACAGCUGUAUGUGCAAUAAUUGUUUAUGAUUCAUUGAAAAAGCAUGAAAAACAUCAUUUAAACCCUUUCCAAUAAAGAUCUGUAAAUCUUAUUCGAUUUUACACAAUUAUCUUUACAAUACAGUCUCCUGAAAAAGGGAGCAUAUAUGCUCAAAGAAACUUGAGUCACGGCAUCUACACACAACCUUAUUCAGGAACCAGGUCAUAUCUGCACUGAAACUAAACAGGAGUUGAAGUUUCAAAUGGGAGAUUUUGGUCUCGAUUUCAAAACAAAAAAAAAACUUUUAGGGAUGAGAAAUAACAGCAUUCUGUAUGCUCUGCCUCAUUGGACACCAACCCUUCUCCUGGAGAUGGACUUUCCCAUGAAUAUGAGCUUCAGCUCUAAUUAAAAUCACAGCCUCUUUACGAAACCAAACUGGACCAUUUUAAUUCGAACUUGUGACCAUUUUUAAUUCCUCAACUUUUAGGUUGAAUUGUGUACCACCUAUAUGACGUCCAUUACCAUGGAGGUAUCAUCUAUAAUACCAACCAUUUUGCAUUUUCUCCAACUAGACCUCUAUUACUCCAAAGUAGACCUCCAUUAUAAGACUUGGCGCCCACUUUAUGUCCCAAAACUCUUUAGGAUAACGCACAAUAAAGGCAUAAGUGUUGAUAACAGAGGCCCGUUAUGUAGAAGCAGCGAAUCUGACCAUCAUGUGUCCUGACCCAUGAUGAACCCUAUUAAGAAGAAUGCCAGGGCUAACACAGAAUCCUUUCAGGCCGUCUCUAUAAGACUUUUUUUCUCUCGGUCUUCCAGCGUAUCGUCCAACCUAAAAUAUCUAGAAGUUGUAAGGAUAGAUCAGUGAAAUCGUUCAAUGGCUUUGUCACUAUCCAGCCUGAAUAUAAAAACAAAACAUAGUAUCCAGUACCUCCCGCUGAGUGUGUGUGUGUGUGGGUGUGCGUGGCUCUUUGGUUGUCCAUGCGGUACUUGGCUCUGGUCUCUGAUGUUCUCCCACUAGGAUUCACUUCAACAGAGCGAGCAUGCAAAGCAAUAUUUCAAAGCCACGGCCUGCUUUCAGCUCUGCAUAUCAAUAACUUAAAUCCGCUAGCUGCUAGCCGCUGCAUUCUGAACAGGAUCGCUUAAUGAUGAAGAGAAUUAUGGUGCAUCUGAUACUGAAUCUAUUACUGAGACAGAAAUUCAACACACACACACACACACACACACACACACACAAACA